Molecule: ribosomal RNA, 1440 nt
Filed under: uncultured organism
Description: SSU rRNA
Rfam family: Bacterial small subunit ribosomal RNA
Source: RNAcentral
CAGGAUGAACGCUAGCUACAGGCUUAACACAUGCAAGUCGAGGGGCAGCAUGGUCUUAGCUUGCUAAGGCCGAUGGCGACCGGCGCACGGGUGAGUAACACGUAUCCAACCUGCCGUCUACUCUUGGACAGCCUUCUGAAAGGAAGAUUAAUACAAGAUGGCAUCAUGAGUCCGCAUGUUCACAUGAUUAAAGGUAUUCCGGUAGACGAUGGGGAUGCGUUCCAUUAGAUAGUAGGCGGGGUAACGGCCCACCUAGUCUUCGAUGGAUAGGGGUUCUGAGAGGAAGGUCCCCCACAUUGGAACUGAGAUACGGUCCAAACUCCUACGGGAGGCAGCAGUGAGGAAUAUUGGUCAAUGGGCGAGAGCCUGAACCAGCCAAGUAGCGUGAAGGAUGACUGCCCUAUGGGUUGUAAACUUCUUUUAUAAAGGAAUAAAGUCGGGUAUGGAUACCCGUUUGCAUGUACUUUAUGAAUAAGGAUCGGCUAACUCCGUGCCAGCAGCCGCGGUAAUACGGAGGAUCCGAGCGUUAUCCGGAUUUAUUGGGUUUAAAGGGAGCGUAGAUGGAUGUUUAAGUCAGUUGUGAAAGUUUGCGGCUCGACCGUAAAAUUGCAGUUGAUACUGGAUAUCUUGAGUGCAGUUGAGGCAGGCGGAAUUCGUGGUGUAGCGGUGAAAUGCUUUAGAUAUCACGAAGAACUCCGAUUGCGAAGGCAGCCUGCUAAGCUGCAACUGACAUUGAGGCUCGAAAGUGUGGGUAUCAAACAGGAUUAGAUACCCUGGUAGUCCACACGGUAAACGAUGAAUACUCGCUGUUUGCGAUAUACUGCAAGCGGCCAAGCGAAAGCGUUAAGUAUUCCACCUGGGGAGUACGCCGGCAACGGUGAAACUCAAAGGAAUUGACGGGGGCCCGCACAAGCGGAGGAACAUGUGGUUUAAUUCGAUGAUACGCGAGGAACCUUACCCGGGCUUAAAUUGCAGAUGAAUUACGGUGAAAGCCGUAAGCCGCAAGGCAUCUGUGAAGGUGCUGCAUGGUUGUCGUCAGCUCGUGCCGUGAGGUGUCGGCUUAAGUGCCAUAACGAGCGCAACCCUUGUUGUCAGUUACUAACAGGUUCCGCUGAGGACUCUGACAAGACUGCCAUCGUAAGAUGUGAGGAAGGUGGGGAUGACGUCAAAUCAGCACGGCCCUUACGUCCGGGGCUACACACGUGUUACAAUGGGGGGUACAGAGGGCCGCUACCACGCGAGUGGAUGCCAAUCCCCAAAACCUCUCUCAGUUCGGACUGGAGUCUGCAACCCGGCUCCACGAAGCUGGAUUCGCUAGUAAUCGCGCAUCAGCCACGGCGCGGUGAAUACGUUCCCGGGCCUUGUACACACCGCCCGUCAAGCCAUGGGAGCCGGGGGUACCUGAAGUGCGUAACCGCGAGGAGCGCCCUAGGGUAAAAC